CCUACGGGUGGCAGCAGUGGGGAAUAUUGCACAAUGGGGGAAACCCUGAUGCAGCGAAGCCGCGUGAGUGAAGAAGUAACUCGUUAUGUAAAGCUCUAUCAGCAGGGAAGUAAAUGAAGGUACCUGAGUAUGAAGCCCCGGCUAACUACGUACCAGCAGCCGCGGUAAUACGUAGGGGGCCAGCGUUAUCCGGAUUUACUGGGUGUAAAGGGAGCGUAGACGGCAGGGCAAGUCUGGAGUGAAAGGCGGGGGCUCAACCCCCGGACUGCAAUGGAAACUGGAAGGCUGGAGUGCAGGAGAGGUAGGUGGAAUUCCUGGUGUAGCGGUGAAAUGCGUAGAUAUUAGGAGGAACACC
RNAcentral lists this ribosomal RNA (355 nucleotides) under uncultured bacterium. RNAcentral's name for it is "partial 16S ribosomal RNA". It matches the Rfam family "Bacterial small subunit ribosomal RNA", at positions 338 to 710 of the family's 1533-position model. The record is from RNAcentral.